Molecule: ribosomal RNA, 405 nt
Filed under: uncultured bacterium
Lineage: Bacteria
Description: partial 16S ribosomal RNA
Rfam family: Bacterial small subunit ribosomal RNA
Source: RNAcentral
AUUGAACGCUGGCGGCAGGCCUAACACAUGCAAGUCGAACAGUGGCGGACGGGUGAGUAACGCGUAGGUAACUACCUAUUAGAGGGGGAUAACUAUUGGAAACGAUAGCUAAUACCGCAUAUUAGUAGAUGGACCUGCGUUGUAUUAGCUAGGAGGUAGGGUAACGGCCUACCUAGGCAACGAUACAUAGCCGGCCUGAGAAGGUGGACGGCCCCACAGGGACUGGGACACGGGCCAGACUCCUACGGGAGGCAGCAGUAGGGGAUCUUCGGCAAUGGGGGGAACCCUGACCGCGCAACGCCGCGGGAGUGAAGAAGGUUUUCGGAUCGUAAAACUCUGUUGUUAAGGAAGCGGUACUUAACCAGAAAGGGACGGCUAACUACGUGCCAGCAGCCGCGGUAAUUC